RNAcentral lists this small RNA (126 nucleotides) under Marmota monax (woodchuck). Lineage: Eukaryota; Metazoa; Chordata; Mammalia; Rodentia; Sciuridae. The record is from RNAcentral.
GCCAGAGGCAUGGUGCAUGCCUCUAAUCCCAGCUACUUGGGAGGCUGAAGAAGAAGGAUCAGAUGGGAGGAUCGCUUGAGCCCAGGAGUUUGGGUCCAGCCUGGGCAACAUAGCAAGAUCCUGUGU